Molecule: ribosomal RNA, 464 nt
Filed under: uncultured Verrucomicrobiales bacterium
Lineage: Bacteria; Pseudomonadati; Verrucomicrobiota; Verrucomicrobiia; Verrucomicrobiales
Description: bacterial SSU rRNA
Rfam family: Bacterial small subunit ribosomal RNA
Source: RNAcentral
CCUACGGGUGGCAGCAGUCGAGAAUUUUUCACAAUGGGCGAAAGCCUGAUGGAGCGACGCCGCGUGGGGGAUGAAGGGCUUCGGCUCGUAAACCCCUGUCAUUUGCGAACAAAGGCGCCAACCUAAUACGUUGUUGUCUGAUAGUAGCAGAAGAGGAAGGGACGGCUAACUCUGUGCCAGCAGCCGCGGUAAUACAGAGGUCCCAAGCGUUGUUCGGAUUCACUGGGCGUAAAGGGUGAGUAGGUGGUGGAUUAAGUCGGGUGUGAAAUCUCCGGGCUCAACCCGGAGCGUGCGCCCGAAACUGAUUCGCUAGAGGAUGGGAGGGGAGACUGGAAUUCUCGGUGUAGCAGUGAAAUGCGUAGAUAUCGAGAGGAACACCGGUGGCGAAGGCGAGUCUCUGGACCAUUCCUGACACUGAAUCACGAAAGCCGGGGGAGCAAACAGGAUUAGAUACCCGAGUAGUC